This 527-nucleotide long non-coding RNA is filed under the name Danio rerio (zebrafish). Its description in RNAcentral is "si:ch211-208c9.1 (ENSDARG00000094075.4)". Lineage: Eukaryota; Metazoa; Chordata; Actinopteri; Cypriniformes; Danionidae. The record is from RNAcentral.
AUGUGUUUGUAAGUUUCUACGACAGCAAAGAAGCUGAAGCUGAUAUAAGAGACAUUUAUCAACAGUUUUAAGAAAAUUUGAGAAGCAGCAGCAGCUAUGGACCCUAAUGUCAACCGUGGUUCGCUCGAACUUGCCUGAGGACACUCCAACGUCAGCGAACCGGAUGUAAAACAGUCCGAAAGAGGGAAUUGCCUGCUGUUGUAAUGACAGACUGCCGCCGCUAGAUAGAGAUAGAAUACAGGAGUCAACAGGGUCUUACAAUUCAAGCACAACUCAACGAUGGCAAACCAGUCAGCAUAAUGUAUUUCUUGGGCAGCAGAGAGAUCAAGCAAUGGAACAGGAAACACACAGAUGUUUACUAUGGACAAUUUUGCUCUGACACACAGUGACAUGUCCUAUUGCGUUUUCUGCCAGUGGGAAAGGCAUCAGCGGAGUCUCUGGGAGCUGUCCUGAACACCUCUCGCUCUGCGUUUCCCCUGGUGUGAAUGUAAGAUUCCUUCAGCUGAUCGCAGCCCUUCUGAUGACAG